RNAcentral lists this ribosomal RNA (568 nucleotides) under uncultured bacterium. Its description in RNAcentral is "bacterial SSU rRNA". It matches the Rfam family "Bacterial small subunit ribosomal RNA", at positions 91 to 640 of the family's 1533-position model. The record is from RNAcentral.
GCGAGCGGCGGAUGGGUGAGUAACACGUGGGGAAACCUGCCCCAUAGUCUAGGAUACCACUUGGAAACAGGUGCUAAUACCGGAUAAGAAAGCAGAUCGCAUGAAUCAGCUUUUUAAAAGGCGGCGUAAGCUGUCGCUAUGGGAUGGCCCCGCGGUGCAUUAGCUAGUUGGUAAGGUAAAGGCUUACCAAGGCGAUGAUGCAUAGCCGAGUUGAGAGACUGAUCGGCCACAUUGGGACUGAGACACGGCCCAAACUCCUACGGGAGGCAGCAGUAGGGAAUCUUCCACAAUGGACGCAAGUCUGAUGGAGCAACGCCGCGUGAGUGAAGAAGGUUUUCGGAUCGUAAAGCUCUGUUGUUGGUGAAGAAGGAUAGAGGUAGUAACUGGCCUUUAUUUGACGGUAAUCAACCAGAAAGUCACGGCUAACUACGUGCCAGCAGCCGCGGUAAUACGUAGGUGGCAAGCGUUGUCCGGAUUUAUUGGGCGUAAAGCGAGCGCAGGCGGAAGAAUAAGUCUGAUGUGAAAGCCCUCGGCUUAACCGAGGAACUGCAUUCGGGAAACUGUUUUU